UGGGGAAUCUUGGACAAUGGGCGCAAGCCUGAUCCAGCCAUGCCGCGUGGAUGAUGAAGGCCUUAGGGUUGUAAAAUCCUUUCGUUGGGGACGAUAAUGACGGUACCCAAAGAAGAAGCUCCGGCUAACUUCGUGCCAGCAGCCGCGGUAAUACGAAGGGGGCUAGCGUUGUUCGGAUUUACUGGGCGUAAAGCGCGUGUAGGCGGACUUGUAAGUUGGGGGUGAAAUCCCGAGGCUCAACCUCGGAACUGCCUCCAAAACUACAAAUCUGGACCUAAGUAGAGGCAAGUGGAAUUGCGAGUGUAGAGGUGAAAUUCGUAGAUAUUCGCAGGAACACCAGUGGCGAAGGCGACUUGCUGGACUUAUGGUGACGCUGAGACGCGAAAGCGUGGGGAGCAAACAGGAUUAGAUACCCAUGUAGUCCCUGAGCGGGCUGGCAAGGCGCAU
RNAcentral lists this ribosomal RNA (447 nucleotides) under uncultured bacterium. Its description in RNAcentral is "bacterial SSU rRNA". It matches the Rfam family "Bacterial small subunit ribosomal RNA", at positions 355 to 825 of the family's 1533-position model. The record is from RNAcentral.